Molecule: ribosomal RNA, 253 nt
Filed under: uncultured bacterium
Lineage: Bacteria
Description: partial 16S ribosomal RNA
Rfam family: Bacterial small subunit ribosomal RNA
Source: RNAcentral
UACAGAGGGUGCGAGCGUUGUUCGGAAUUAUUGGGCGUAAAGGGCGCGUAGGCGGCGCCACAAGUCACCUGUGAAAACUCUGGGCUCAACCCAGAGCCUGCAGGCGAAACUGUGGUGCUGGAGUAUGGGAGAGGUGCGUGGAAUUCCCGGUGUAGCGGUGAAAUGCUUAGAUAUGACAUAGAACACCAAUUGCGAAGGCAGCUUACUACGCAACGAUUGACGCUGAGGCACGAAAGCGUGGGGAUCAAACAGG